GGACAAUUAGCUCAGUUGGUAGAGCGUCUUCUUGACGUGGAGAGGGUCAGGGGUUCGAGUCCCUUAUUGUCCACCA
Molecule: transfer RNA, 76 nt
Filed under: Clostridiales bacterium
Lineage: Bacteria; Bacillati; Bacillota; Clostridia; Eubacteriales
Also listed under: 2 other names
Description: tRNA-Val
Rfam family: tRNA
About the family: Transfer RNA (tRNA) molecules are approximately 80 nucleotides in length. Their secondary structure includes four short double-helical elements and three loops (D, anti-codon, and T loops).
Source: RNAcentral